RNAcentral lists this ribosomal RNA (253 nucleotides) under uncultured bacterium. RNAcentral describes it as "partial 16S ribosomal RNA". It matches the Rfam family "Bacterial small subunit ribosomal RNA", at positions 524 to 776 of the family's 1533-position model. The record is from RNAcentral.
UACGGGGGGUGCAAACGUUGCUCGGAAUCAUUGGGCGUAAAGCGCACGUAGGCGGUUCGUUAUGUCGGAUGUGAAAGCCCUUGGCUUAACCGAGGAAGUGCAUCCGAAACUGGCGAGCUAGAGUACUAAAGAGGAUCGCGGAAUUCCCAGUGUAGAGGUGAAAUUCGUAGAUAUUGGGAAGAACACCGGUGGCGAAGGCGGCUCACUGGCUCGUAACUGACGCUCAGGCGCGACAGCGUGGGGAUCAAACAGG